UUGCACUGUUCGUAACCUUUUGACAGCAUUUUUCUGCAAAUAGGUUCCAUUCCAGUGCUACAUUAAAUCCAGUAAUGGAAGGCUGACAAACUCCCAUGUCCCUUCUGUAUCUGGAGACAAAG
Geospiza fortis (medium ground-finch) is the source of this 122-nucleotide small nucleolar RNA. The record is from Ensembl. NCBI's taxonomy places the organism in Eukaryota, Metazoa, Chordata, Aves, Passeriformes, Thraupidae.